This 465-nucleotide ribosomal RNA is filed under the name uncultured bacterium. Its description in RNAcentral is "partial 16S ribosomal RNA". It matches the Rfam family "Bacterial small subunit ribosomal RNA", at positions 28 to 507 of the family's 1533-position model. The record is from RNAcentral.
GACGAACGCUGGCGGCGUGCUUAACACAUGCAAGUCGAACGGAAAGGCCCUGCUUGCAGGGUACUCGAGUGGCGAACGGGUGAGUAACACGUGGGUGAUCUGCCCUGCACUUCGGGAUAAGCCUGGGAAACUGGGUCUAAUACCGGAUAGUAGCCAUUUUUAGUGUGAUGGUUGGAAAGUUUUUUCGGUGUAGGAUGAGCUCGCGGCCUAUCAGCUUGUUGGUGGGGUAAUGGCCUACCAAGGCGGCGACGGGUAGCCGGCCUGAGAGGGUGGACGGCCACAUUGGGACUGAGAUACGGCCCAGACUCCUACGGGAGGCAGCAGUGGGGAAGAUUGCACAAGGGGCGCAAGCCGGAUGCAGAGACGCCGCGUGGGGGAUGACGGCCUUCGGGUUGUAAACUCCUUUCGCUAGGGACGAAGCUUUUUGUGACGGUACCUAGAGAAGAAGCACCGGCUAACUACGUG